RNAcentral lists this unclassified non-coding RNA (334 nucleotides) under Hevea brasiliensis (rubber tree). The record is from RNAcentral. Lineage: Eukaryota; Viridiplantae; Streptophyta; Magnoliopsida; Malpighiales; Euphorbiaceae.
CACAAAAUCUUUCUCUGUUACAUUCUUCCCAUCAUGGUUGAUGAGAUUAAAUGGCCCCCCAAUGGCUGCUUUUCCCACAGAUGGUCCCUCUUUUGCAGCCUCAGAAGCUUUAUUUAUUUCUUCAAUAUGCCGCUUCUUCUCCCUAUCGUAGUAUAAGAUUAUUCCAACUCCAGUGGCCAUCAGCAACAGAAAACUCAACCACGAUACAGGCCCUCCGCGUACAGGUUUUCCAGCAUCACUGUCCUGCUGCGAAUCGCCUGACUUCUCACCUCCAUCCGAUUUAGUGUCUUCAGCUUUUCCUGAAGUUUCUGAGCUAACAGUACCAGUACUUGCA